UCAAGAAACUUCCACAAUGGGCGAAAGCCUGAUGGAGCGACGUCGCGUGAUGGACGAAGUGCUUCGGCACGUAAACAUCUUUUAUGUGGGAUGAAAUUAUUGACAGUACCACAUGAAUAAGGGGCUCCUAACUCUGUGCCAGCAGGAGCGGUAAUACAGAGGCCCCAAGCGUUAUCCGGAAUCACUGGGCGUAAAGGGUGUCGAGGCGGUUGUAUUAGUCGUUCGUAAAAUCUACGAGCUUAACUUGUAGGCGGCGAACGAAACGGUACGACUUGAGGUUUGGAGAGGUGCGUGGAACUCACGGUGUAGGGUGAAAUCCGUUGAUAUCGUGGGGAACACCGAAGGCGAAGGCAGCGCACUGGCCAAAAUCUGACGCUCACACACGAAAGCUAGGGUAGCGAAGAGGAUUAGAUACCCACGUAGUCCCUGAGCGGGCUGGCAAGGCGCAU
Molecule: ribosomal RNA, 449 nt
Filed under: uncultured bacterium
Lineage: Bacteria
Description: bacterial SSU rRNA
Rfam family: Bacterial small subunit ribosomal RNA
Source: RNAcentral